CCUCAUCCCAUUUUUGCAGUUAAGUUGCUCUGUAGGUUUCUGUUAUGGUUUUUGAUUUUUUGCAGUGCUUUAAUUAUGCACUUUGGCAUUGUUUGGGGAUACUAGUGACUCAAUGAAGAACCCCUUGUAACCAGUUAGUGUUGGUAAAGACUUGCUUUUUAAAGUUUGAUUAUGUCUUUGCAUUUUCAUCUUAAAAACUAUUUAGAGUUGCUUCUUAGAACAUGAUGAUACAUUUGUGGUAAUAAUCUCAUUAUGUUCUUUUUCUUAGUAAAUUCUUUUCUCUUUUGUUUUUCUCUUCAAAUUCUAUAAAUGAAUUAUAGACUUGUACAUAAUUUGAUUUUGAUCAAAAUUAUGCUCAAUCUGUUUGAUCAAAUGCUUACAUGGAAAUUAUGAGUAAGUCCUUUUUUUUUUAUCAUUAUGGCUCUUCAUAUAUCUUACCAGUUAUGAAAGUGGUAAUUAAUUUUAUAUUUAUUUAUUUGUCUAAUAUUAUCUUUAUUAUUUAUAUUUUUGAAAUAAAUUUGAGAGUGAUCUGACUUUUUAAGAAAACCACAUAAAUGUGAUAUUUGGAAGGUCUCUAAGUUGCACAGGGGCCACUGACUAGAUGUUCUUUCUUCUACACUUGUCAUUGCAUUAUUUCAGUAUGCAUUUUGCAUAAAUGGUUGAUAAGAAAACACUUUGAUACAUCUUUUCUUGCCACCAGGAUUAUGGAAAAUGCCCAAUAACAGGUGAACCCCUUACUAUGGACGAUAUUGUUCAUGUUAAAACUGGAAAGGUAUGCUUAUAUUGCUUUUGCUUUUGCUUUUGCGGUUUUCCACUUUUCUUCUUUUCUUCGUGCUCAUUGUUCUUCUUGGAACUUUUGUUUAAUUCACGAAUCAUGUUGGAUGUGCCGGAUCUUUGGAUAACUUGUUGGGACCACACAUUACAGUGGAGGAUAGAGAUCCGUUUCUUACAAUGUUGAAUUUGGAUUUCCAUUAUGAUAUGAUGCUUCAAUUCAACUGUUCAGAAUAUUAAAAGCCUGUUUUUGCUAUAAACUUUGCAUGCUAACUUUAGUGGUUUGUAAUGCAGAUAGUUCGGCCAAGGCCUGUACAAGCUGCUAGCAUCGCUGGAAUGCUUGGAAUGUUCCAGACUGUAUGUAGUUUUACUCAUAAGAAUGGCUAUCUUUUACUCCAUUUAAUGUAGAAUAAUGCUUGCUAAAAACAUAACUUUUUCUGCUGGACUCAGUGGAUGAUCAAUUUUCAUUUAUUUUUUGCUUACUGGCACUCCAAUCCAAAAUAAUAUGGCAGAGUUGUGGGCCUUACUACAUUUCAUUAUGCCAACCUUAUUUGAUAGUCACGAACAGUUUAAUGAGUGGUUUUCUAAAGGAAUUGAGAGCCAUGCAGAACAUGGUGGUACUUUGAAUGAGCACUAGCUUAACCGAUUGCAUUCAAUAUUAAAACCUUUCAUGCUACGUCGAGUUAAAACAAAUGUAGUUUCAGAGCUUACCAGGAAAACAGAGAUCACAGUGCACUGCAAAUUGAGUUCACGACAACAAGCUUUUUAACGAGCUAUCAAGAACAAGAUAUCUCUUUCUGAGUUAUUUGACAACAAUCAUGGACAACUUAAUGACAAAAAACUCCUUAAUUUAAUGAAUAUUGUCAUUCAGCUAAGGAAGGUCUGUAAUCAUCCAGAGUUAUUCGAAAGGAGUGAGGGAAGCACAUAUCUCUACUUUGGUGAGAUUCCCAUUGCCCUUUUGCCUGCCCCCUUUGGGGAAUUGGAGGAUGUACACUACUCAGGAGGUCGCAAUCCUAUAAUAUUCAAGGUUCUUUUUAUAGCUGCUUUCUUUUAAUAUACAUAACUAUGCAAAAUCUCUUGUAUUGUUAUUAUUCUUUUCAAAUAAGCUCCAUCCCCCACAUGUCCUCACCCAUCUCCCCUGUAUGUAGUUUAACAUAAAAUAAAAUAAAAAUGAAAAUGAAUAGCAUUGUAGAACUUAUUUCCAUA
This is a long non-coding RNA of Humulus lupulus (European hop), 1977 nucleotides long. RefSeq lists it as uncharacterized. NCBI's taxonomy places the organism in Eukaryota, Viridiplantae, Streptophyta, Magnoliopsida, Rosales, Cannabaceae. The transcript is spliced from 4 exons. The record is from RefSeq and is a predicted model, not a curated record.